This is an RNA transcript of Panicum virgatum (switchgrass), 3258 nucleotides long. It is a transcript of the gene named squamosa promoter-binding-like protein 9, with no coding region annotated. The transcript has 11 exons. Lineage: Eukaryota; Viridiplantae; Streptophyta; Magnoliopsida; Poales; Poaceae. The record is from RefSeq and is a predicted model, not a curated record.
CACCAGCUGGGGCGGCCCACCCGUCAGCGAGCGCGCGAGGGUCGCGCGGGGUCGUCUAGCGCCGGCGCGCCGCCCACCUACCAGCGCGGACGCGAGGAGACCAAUUCCCACUUCGCUCCGCGACGGCGCGUGCUCCAGCCCCCGAGUCGCCCCCCACCACUCCCCUCCCUCCGCCUCCGCGGAAUCGUGAGGGGUUCCCAAAUCGCCGGAGCUGAUCGUGCCCAGCACGCGCGCGCGGGGGUGUUAGGGCUAGGCUGAGUCCCACCGGAAAUGGACGCCGCCGACUCCGGCGGGGGCGCCGCGGCGGAUGCCGGCGAGCCCCUCUGGGACUGGGGCAACCUCCUCGACUUCGUCCAGGAUGACGACUCGCUGGUCCUCCCGUGGGACAACGCCGCGGGGAUAGGGGCGUCCGACCCCACCGAGGCCGUCGCGCCGAUGCUCCCCGCGCCGCUGUCGCAGCCGUCGGAACCGGAGCCGGAGCUGCAACCGGAGCUGGAACCGGAACCGGAGGCGGAGCCCGGGCCGGUGCUUCCACCGCCCCCUCUUCGGGUCCAGGGGAUCGGGCGCCGCGUGCGGAAGCGGGACCCGCGGCUGGUGUGCCCGAACUACCUAGCGGGGAGGGUGCCGUGCGCGUGCCCCGAGGUGGACGAGAUGGUCGCCGCCGCGGAGGUGGAGGACGUGGCGACGGAGUUCCUGGCUGGCGCGCGGAAGAAGACUAAGACCGCGGCCCGGCGGGGCAAAGCGGGAGCCGCAGGCGGUGGCGGAACUGCUGGAGGAACUGUCCGUGCGGCGGGGAUGGAGAUGAAGUGCCAGGUGCCUGGGUGCGAGGCGGACAUACGGGAGCUCAAGGGGUACCACCGCCGGCACCGGGUGUGCCUGCGUUGCGCGCACGCAUCUGCUGUCCUGCUCGAUGGUGUCCAGAAGCGCUACUGCCAGCAGUGCGGCAAGUUCCAUGUAUUACUAGAUUUUGAUGAAGAUAAAAGGAGUUGCAGAAGAAAGUUGGAGCGCCACAACAAAAGACGACGAAGAAAACCUGAUUCUAAAGGAAUGCUUGAUAAAGAAAUAGAUGAGCAAUUGGAUCUGUCAGCAGAUGUUAGCGGCGAUGGUGAACUUAGAGAAGGUUCAGAGAACAUGGAAGGUACAACUAGUGAGAUGCUUGAGACUGUUCUUAGCAACAAGGUUUUGGACAGAGGAACACCGGCAGGAUCUGAAGAUGUGCUCAGUUCACCGACUUGUACACAGCCCAGUUUGCAAAAUGAACAAAGUAAAAGUGUAGUGACUUUUGCAGCUUCUGUUGAAGCCUGCAUUGGCGCAAAGCAAGAAAAUGCAAAACUUACUACCAAUUCCCCGAUGCAUGACACCAAGAGUGCCUAUUCGUCUUCGUGUCCAACAGGACGCAUCUCAUUCAAGUUGUAUGAUUGGAAUCCUGCUGAAUUUCCUCGACGCCUACGGCACCAGAUAUUUGAGUGGUUGGCUAGCAUGCCUGUUGAAUUGGAGGGCUACAUUCGCCCUGGUUGUACUAUUUUAACUGUUUUUGUCGCAAUGCCACAACACAUGUGGGACAAGCUAUCAGAUGAUGCAGCAAAUCUUCUCAGAAACUUGGUAAAUUCCCCUAACAGCCUUCUGUUGGGUAAAGGGGCCUUCUUCAUUCAUGUCAAUAACAUGAUAUUUCAAGUACUGAAAGAUGGAGCAACAUUGAUGAGUACCAGAUUAGAUGUACAAUCCCCAAGGAUCGAUUAUGUUCAUCCAACAUGGUUUGAAGCUGGGAAACCUGUUGAGCUCAUGCUUUGUGGAAAUUUCCUUGACCAGCCAAAGUUCAGGUCACUUCUGUCAUUUGAUGGGGACUAUUUGAAGCAUGAUUGCUACCGUUUAACGUCUCGUGAUGCCAUUGAUUGUGCUGAAAAUGUUGAUCUUAUUCUUGAUUCUCAACAUGAAUUUUUCCGAAUAAACAUCACUCAAACAAGACCGGAGAUUCAUGGGCCCGCAUUUGUGGAAGUUGAAAACAUGUUUGGAUUAUCAAAUUUUGUUCCAAUCCUUUUUGGUAGCAAACAGCUGUGUUCUGAACUAGAGAGGAUACAGGAUGCUCUUUGUGGUUCAUCUAACAGUAACUUAUUUGGAGAGUUACCAGGUGCUUGUUCUGAUCCUUAUGAGCGUCGGAAGGUUCAAAAGGCUGCUAUGUCUGGAUUCCUGGUAGACAUCGGAUGGCUUAUCAGGAAGCCUACUCAUGAUGACUUCAAAAAUGUACUGAGCUCAACGAAUAUCGAGAGAUGGGUAUGCAUAUUAAAGUUCUUGAUACAGAAUGAUUUUAUCAAUGUUUUGGAAAUAAUUGUGAAGUCAAUGGAGAACAUCAUGGGCUCUGAGGUUCUUUCAAACUUGGAAAGGGGGAAGUUGGAAGAUCAUGUAACAGCAUUUCUUGGAUAUGUAAGCCACGCUCGAAACAUUAUUAAUAGUAGACCUAACAAUGAUGAGAAAACAAAGCUUGAAACAAGAUGGAUUAGUGUUAGUUCUCCAAAUCAGUCAAGCUUAGGCACUUCUGAUCCACCUGCUAAUGAAGCUGGUCUUCAGCUCGGUAUCAGCAUUCCCUAGUCAACUGAAUCAUCUAUCAGUGACAGCUAUUAAUUAAUUUCUUUAGGUCGUUAAGAGAGAACACUGGUACUGGUGUUGAUAAGAAUUUGCACUCUGCUAGUGCAGCUUAUGAGGAAGAAACUGUGCCACUUGGGACUAGAGAUGUCUCACACAGGCACUGCUGCCAGCCUGAUAUGAAUGCUAGGUGGCUUAAGCCCUCAGUGGUGGUUAAGUAUCCUGGUGGUGCCACGAGAAUGCGACUUGGCAUGACUGUGAUAGUUGCUGCUGCGUUGUGUUUUACAGCUUGCCUCGUACUUUUCCAUCCCCAUGGAGUAGGGGCGCUUGCAUCUCCAGUAAAGAGAUGCUUAUCUAGUGACUCUGCAUCGUAGUCAAUGUUAGAUCAGAUCUUUAUUUUCCCCUGCCGCCUUCCUCUGUAUCAUAUGCGCAUUGUAAUUUGAGGCAUAGCUUGUGCAUCUGGUUUUUGGGAGAGGGUCAGCUUACAGGUGCUUUCCCCAUCUGUGCAAACCUGUUUUCUUCAGACUGUAAGUAGAGAUGCCAGAGUUUCUGACCUGCUAGUGUAUGGGUAUGUAAACUGCAAUGGUAGUGCGGCAGUCAAUAGAAAAUAAAUAGCUUCAUUGCUGCAAACAGUGGGUCUCAACUAUUGACAUGCAAUUGUAAUACUCAUUGCUCUCA